Molecule: ribosomal RNA, 253 nt
Filed under: uncultured bacterium
Lineage: Bacteria
Description: partial 16S ribosomal RNA
Rfam family: Bacterial small subunit ribosomal RNA
Source: RNAcentral
UACGUAGGUUGCUAGCGUUGUCCGGAAUCAUUGGGCGUAAAGCGCGUGUAGGCGGCCCGGUAAGUCCGCUGUGAAAGUCGGGGGCUCAACCCUCGGAUGCCGGUGGAUACUGUCGGGCUAGAGUACGGAAGAGGCGAGUGGAAUUCCUGGUGUAGCGGUGGAAUGCGCAGAUAUCAGGAGGAACACCAAUAGCGAAGGCAGCUCGCUGGGACGUUACUGACACUGCGGCGCGAAAGCGUGGGGAGCGAACAGG